Cyprinus carpio carpio is the source of this 4928-nucleotide long non-coding RNA. The record is from Ensembl. Lineage: Eukaryota; Metazoa; Chordata; Actinopteri; Cypriniformes; Cyprinidae.
AAAUUAUAUAUAUAUAUAUAUAAAUAUAUAUAUAUAUAUAUAUAUAUAUAUAAUUUCAUAUAUAUUUCAUAUAUAUAUUAUCAUAUAAAGAACUGAGAACUGGGUAUUAUUAUCUGUAAUUGUAUAAUUUGUAAAUAUAAAUAUUGCUGUAUAUUGUAAAUAUUUCUCUAUACUGUAGUUAUGUUAAGCCUUUUUCUAAUACAUAAUAUUAGAUUACAGUUUUUCUCAAUUGCUAAAACACUAAACCCUAUUGUCUGAACCAAAUGCUCAGUUGCCUGAACCCACUGAUUGAAUCAAUCACUCUUUUGGCAAAACCAUAAGCACUUUUCACCUGUUUAGACACAACUUGCCAACACAUUUUCAUUGUGAUGCACCCGUGCUGCAUAAUGGUGAGCACAGGUGACAAAAGUCAAACACAAUUAAAGCACAGAUGAGACCACUUGAACACAACAACUCAAAAUUGAUCACACUUGUGGCUAAUGAUGUGAAGGAACAUAUACAGUAAGCCAGUUCAGAGAGCACUGGUUUGUGAGGCCCUACAAUGGAUAGAAAUCUGAGAGGAAGAGUUCGUGUGAGAGGAGGUCGAGGGGGUCGAGGUGGUCAGCAAAGACAAAGAACAGUAAUAUCUGAUGAAAUCAGAGCUACUGUGAUUGACCAUGUUCUUGUCCAUGGUAUGAGCAUGAGGGAGGCUGGACAAAGGGUACAACCAAACAUCAGUAGAUUCACUGUGUCCACCAUAAUCUGAAGAUUUAGAGAAGAGAACAGAAUUGAAAGACUGCCACAUGGGGGUGGGAGGACAGGUAUGUUCUCCCGACAUCAAGAGACCCUAAUUGUUGAUAUGGUCCGUGAGAACAUUGCCAUUAAACUGAGUGAAAUUCAGCAGAAGAUCAUUGAGGACCAUGUAAAUUUUGAGGGUAUCAACAGUGUCAGCCUCUCUACUGCUGAUCGUGUCCUCAAGCGCAACAGACUGCGCAUGAAACAGCUAUACAGAGUGCCCUUUGAUCGCAACUCAGACAGAGUCAAAGAGCAAAGAUUCCAAGGGUUUUUCAACUGGAUGCAAUGGAAAGACCCCAUGAAUACAUCUACAUGGAUGAAGCUGGGUUUAAUCUCACCAAAAGGAGAAGGAGAGGCCGUAAUGUGAUUGGCCAUCGGGCCAUUGUUGGUGUUCCUGGGCAGCGUGGUGGCAAUGUCACAUUAUGUGCUGCCAUCAGCAAUCAUGGGGUUGUCCACCAUCAUGCCAACCUGGGACCCUACAACACUCACCAGCUCCUCAUUUUCCUCAAUCACAUACGAGAUGCUCUGUAAUCGCAGCAAGAUGAGCAUCCCAUCUAUGUUGUUGUUUGGGACAAUGUGAGUUUUCACAGAGCCCUCCAGGUUAGAGAGUGGUUCAAUAUGAACCAAGGUUUUAUCAAUCUUUGCCUUCCACCGUACUCCCCUUUCCUAAACCCCAUUGAGGAAUUCUUCUCCUCAUGGCGGUGGAAGGUAUAUGGACGCCAACCUUACACCAGGGUAAAUCUCCUGCAAGCCAUGGGACUUGCCUGUGGUGACAUAGGUGUGGAGGCAUGCCAAGCCUGGAUACGGCAUGCCAGGGGUUUUUUCCCCCGUUGCCUGGCCAGACAAAAUGUGGCCUGUGAUGUGGAUGAAGUCCUGUGGCCUGACCCAGUACGGAGACAUGAUGCUGUGGCUGAGUAAUGCACUUAUCUGUAUAUUUUUGUACUUUAUUUUUACAUGGGCUUGCUGUACACAAGUGGCAAACGCAUCAGAUUUCUGUUUUGUCUUUUUGUACAAGUGCUAAAUGCACAGGUUUUUUUUGUUUUGCAACAUGCAUUUAGCCUACAGUGAACAAUAAACAUUUAUUUCUCCAGCUUCAUGUCCUGAGCAUUGUGUUUUCUAUUUUUCUACGUAGUGUUUAGUGACUGUUCAGAAGUGUUUUUAAUUUGUGAAUGUAGCUUGAAAAUUGGGUUUUGUGUUCACAGUUUAGAGAAAAGGAGAGCAGCUUUCAAGAAAUGUGUCUUCAAGAAAUGUGCAAUCGAGAAAAACUGUAAUAUGUAUUUCAUAAUAUAUAUAUAUAUAUAUAUAUAUAUAUAUAUUAUAUUAUAUUUCAUAAUAUUACUGGAUUUACUGUAUUUUUGAUCAACCAAAUGCAGUCUUGGUGAGCAUAAGAGACAUUUUUCAAAAAGAUUAAAAAAAUCUUGAAACUUGUAAACGUUAGUAUAGAUAUUAUAAUAUUAUAUAUAUAUAUAUAUAUAUAUAUAUAUAUCCAUAUAUAUAUAUACAGUAUAUACAUACAUGCAUACAUACAUAUAUAACACACCACAGUAUAUCUUGGCAAUUUGCUUCAAAAAUGUUGAAAAUAAUGUUUUUUUUUUUAUAAAUGCAGCAUUUAAUGCACAAAGUUUUUGUUGUUGUUUUUUUUACAAUGUGGUGGAUCAUGAAAUUAAUUCAAUACAAGAAGUAGACCUGGGACCAAGAUAUAAUGGAUUUUGCUAAGAAAUUAUAAUAUAACAAACUGAGUAUUAUUAUACUAAUCAUGAUUAACUAAUACAUUUCACAACCAAUUUAUUCUCAGUACCAGAUCAAUGCAUUUUACUCUUCUACCACAUAAUGUUAAAACUAACCCCACAAAACCGAAAGGAAAGACAUUUGCAGCCUGACAGUCCCAUUCACAGGAGCAAAAUGACACACUUACUGAAGGCCAAACCUCUCUCUUCUCUCUCUAACACCUUUCUAUGGCUCGUCCGGCAAGCUCAUUCUUACUCCCACCAGGCUGAGAUGGAGGGAGAAGGGAAAAUAUAACACAGCAUUUUACAUUAUCAAAAAAAAAAAAAAAAAAAGGAAGCCAGGUCGUGAAUAAUUGAGGAGAUCACUUUCGUCUGAGAGCGGAGUGAGAGUGCUCUCCUUGGCUUGUACCUCUCCACACAGUCUGGAGGCUAAUUCACUGGGGAUCGUAAUUUAUGGACAAUUGAAGCAGCAGAAACAUCUCUUGGAAAGCGACUGGGGGAUCCAUAGCAACAAUCCUUCUGGGGCAUAUUAAUCCCCUGCUUUAUGUAGUGCUAAGUGUACAAUAGUAAUCAGUAGUGGAGCGCAGGCCGCUGAUCAUUAAGGGGAAAAGCUAUAUAAAGAAUUCAUAAUGGGAUUAGCCUGCGGCAGGCGGAGUGCGAGAAAGAGGGAGAGAGAGAGAGAGAGAGUGUGUGUGGACCAAAUUAAAUCACCCAUCAAAUUGCACCAAGGAAUUUUAAUUUACAGGUUAAUGCUGAAUUGUGUAACUAAUCACAGCUAAUAUUUUCAGUGAACCAAUGAAAAAGAAAAAAAAAAUGUGGGCAUUUUACUAGCUUCCACUACAGAAGAGUACACUGCAAUUAGGAAAAGCUUUCAUUCUGCAGGCCGGACUUUCAGAGGCCCAUCAACUGUCCAUCCUCAUGCAUGUUUGCUGGUAAUACAACAGUCAUACAACAAAAAAACAAAAUUUCUUACUAGAAAAAUGUAUUUGCUGAAGAUAUGCCAUUUAGAAGUACCUCUAUAUAAUGCAAAUAUGUAGAACAGAAAUGAAAACUUGUUUCUGUGAAGUUGCUGAUGGUUGCAAGGAUGCUGCUAUUUGGCUGCUGAGGAGUUCUGUAGCUACUGUAGGUGGUUACUUAUAGUCAAAUGGUCAAUGACAUGAUGUUCUGUUAAUAAAAAAAAAAAUGCAUAAGUUGUAUGAUGAAUGUGUUUGUCAUUUCUGAAUUACAAUUUAUUAUUAAAAACGAUGCCUAUACCAUACAAAACUAGAUAAAAUAAAAUAAAAUAAAAUAAAAUGAAAUAAAAUUAAAAAUAAAAAUAAAAAUAAAAAUAAAAAUAAAAUAAAAUAAAAUAAACAUGAAUUAGUUUGGCAUAAUAUUUUAUUGUUUUUGUUGUUGUUAAAAUGAAAAAAAAAAUAUUUUAAUAAAACUACUACUAAACUUUUGCCCAAGUCUUGUGGUGCAACCAAAAUGCAGAAUCGUGCAAGGAAAAUACUUCAUAAAGCACAAAAUUAUAGAAUUGAUUAAUUGAAUAAAAAAUAAAUACAUAAAUGUACAAAUAUAUAAAUUCUCUCUCUCGCUCUCUCGCUUGCUCUCUCUCUCUCUCUCUCUCUCUCUGUCUCUCUCUCUCUGUAUAAAUAAAAUAAAAUAAAAUAAUAAUAAUUAAAAAAAAAGAUUCUUUAAAGGAAACCUGAAGAAGUUUGGCAUAAUAUUUUAUUGUUGUUGUUGUUGUUGUUAAAAAUAAACAAUAUUUUAACAAGACUGCUUCACUGCUUAUUAACAUUUGAAAAACUUUUGCCCGUCAUGCGGUGCAACCAACAUGCAGAAUCAUGCAAGGAAAAAACUCCAUAAAGCAUGAAAUUAUAGAAUUGAUUAAUAAAUAAAUAAAUAUAUAAAUUCUCUCUCUCUCUCUCUCUCUCUAUAUAUAUAUAUAUAUAUACAUACAUACAUACAGGUGCAUCUCAAUAAAUUAGAAUGUCGAGGAAAAGUUCAUUUAUUUCAGUAAUUCAACUCAAAUUGUGAAACUCGUGUAUUAAAUAAAUUCAAUGCACACAGACUGAAGUAGUUUAAGUCUUUGGUUCUUUUAAUUGUGAUGAUUUUGGCUCACAUUUAACAAAAACCCACCAAUUCAAUCUCAACAAAUUAGAAUAUGGUGACAUGCCAAUCAGCUAAUCAACUCAAAACACCUGCAAAGGUUUCCUGAGCCUUCAAAAUGGUCUCUCAGUUUGGUUCACUAGGCUACACAAUCAUGGGGAAGACUGCUGAUCUGACAGUUGUCCAGAAGACUAUCAUUGACACCCUUCACAAGGAGGGUAAGCCACAAACAUUGAUUGCCAAAGAAGCUGGCUGUUCACAGAGUGCUGUAUCCAAGCAUGUUAGCAGAAAGUUGAGUGGAAGGAAAAAGUGUGGAAGAAAAAAGAUGCACAACCA